This 760-nucleotide ribosomal RNA is filed under the name Ganoderma gibbosum. RNAcentral describes it as "eukaryotic LSU rRNA". The stretch from base 352 to 505 matches the Rfam family "5.8S ribosomal RNA". Lineage: Eukaryota; Fungi; Basidiomycota; Agaricomycetes; Polyporales; Polyporaceae. The record is from RNAcentral.
UAUGAAUGGCUUAGUGAGGUCUUGGGAUUGGCUUCGGGAAGCCGGCAACGGCAUCCUGUCGCUGAGAACUUGAUCAAACUUGGUCAUUUAGAGGAAGUAAAAGUCGUAACAAGGUUUCCGUAGGUGAACCUGCGGAAGGAUCAUUAUCGAGUUUUGACUGGGUUGUAGCUGGCCUUCCGAGGCAUGUGCACGCCCUGCUCAUCCACUCUACACCUGUGCACUUACUGUGGGUUUUACGGGUCGUGAAAUGGGCUCGUUCAUUCGGGCUUGUUGAGCGCACUUGUUGCCUGCGUUUAUCACAAACUCCAUAAAGUAUUAGAAUGUGUAUUGCGAUGUAACGCAUCUAUAUACAACUUUCAGCAACGGAUCUCUUGGCUCUCGCAUCGAUGAAGAACGCAGCGAAAUGCGAUAAGUAAUGUGAAUUGCAGAAUUCAGUGAAUCAUCGAAUCUUUGAACGCACCUUGCGCUCCUUGGUAUUCCGAGGAGCAUGCCUGUUUGAGUGUCAUGAAAUCUUCAAUCUACAAGCUUCUUAUGGGAGUUUGUAGGCUUGGACUUGGAGGCUUGUCGGUCCUUUACAGGUCGGCUCCUCUCAAAUGCAUUAGCUUGGUUCCUUGCGGAUCGGCUUGUCGGUGUGAUAAUGUCUACGCCGCGACCGUGAAGCGUGUUUGGGCGAGCUUCUAACCGUCUCGUUACGGAGACAACUUUAUGACCUCUGACCUCAAAUCAGGUAGGACUACCCGCUGAACUUAAGCAUAUCAUA